Molecule: ribosomal RNA, 198 nt
Filed under: Bacillus subtilis
Lineage: Bacteria; Bacillati; Bacillota; Bacilli; Caryophanales; Bacillaceae
Description: partial 16S ribosomal RNA
Rfam family: Bacterial small subunit ribosomal RNA
Source: RNAcentral
CGUAAAGGGCUCGCAGGCGGUUUCUUAAGUCUGAUGUGAAAGCCCCCGGCUCAACCGGGGAGGGUCAUUGGAAACUGGGGAACUUGAGUGCAGAAGAGGAGAGUGGAAUUCCACGUGUAGCGGUGAAAUGCGUAGAGAUGUGGAGGAACACCAGUGGCGAAGGCGACUCUCUGGUCUGUAACUGACGCUGAGGAGAGA